This is a long non-coding RNA of Mirounga angustirostris (Northern elephant seal), 8023 nucleotides long. RefSeq lists it as uncharacterized. The record is from RefSeq and is a predicted model, not a curated record. The transcript has 2 exons. NCBI's taxonomy places the organism in Eukaryota, Metazoa, Chordata, Mammalia, Carnivora, Phocidae.
CAUGCCCAUAUCGUGGAGCUGCUUUGCCUAGUAGUCUCCACAACAGACAACUGGAGACAUCUCAGAUGACACAAAGACCCAGCAUCGUGGAUUCUCAAGGUUUUCGUUCCUAGAGGAUGAUGGAGUUGGGGCAAGGGGGCAGGCUGGUACAAUUUCUUUGGGUCCUACAAGGCGAAGAGAACUGUUUUUGCAUAAUAUGAAUAGGAAUAAUAUAAAAAGGAACGUUAUGCAGACAUGAACUUCCUAACUCCACGGAGGAAGGAGGAGAACCCUGCCUCUAGGAGGAGAACACUGCUGGGUGGGUGAUGUGCUGGGUGGCAAGAGGAUGUGGUUGCAGAUCCUACAGACCUGGAGGAGCCAAGGAGUGUGUGCACCCACAUGUGUGUCCCGCCCAGAGAGUGCAGAGUAAGGGUGUGUCUGCCCUGUCUCAAGGUGAGGGUUGUCCUAGUGAAGCAGAUCAACCUAAGCCUCGGUGCCUUGUGGGACACCACAUAGGAGGCCAAGCCCCUGCGGGCUGAAGUUGGACCCGAUCUCAAAACAGAGACGUUGUGCUCGACGGCAUCAUGCUUUAGAUGUUGACCAGGCACAUGGCCCCUGCUCAGGCUGCCCUCCAUGUGAGAACAGUCUGAGAUACCUUUGCUGGACAUCAGUCAAGAUCAUUCUGCAUCUCAAAAGUGACCUUGUGGUUCUGUGUCCAGGUCCUCGAUGCUGCCUCCCCUCACCAACCCCAGUCACCCUGGGACCUGUCCUCUUCUGCCGCCUGCAUGCCACGUAUCCCUUUGUGAACUGCCUGCACGGCCUACCCGGUAAACUUUGUGAAAUUCUACCCCACUCUUCCUUUCCCAACCUCACCUGUGGUUUUCCAAAUGAGCUUUUAGCAGCAGAACCCUUUCUUUGAACACAGUCUUAGAAGCCACCCCAUCUACAAACAGCCACAAGCACUGCUGUUGUGGAGGAAAGGGCUUACCACCAAUCUCCUGACCUUGACAGGACUCUCAGAGGUCUUCCUACCUGCGCUCCUUUGCUUAUCGUGACAGUUACAAAUUACAGAGGCCCUAGAGCCGUCCUUGGCCCUCUCCCCACUGUCUACACCCUCCAUAUACUCCACCCUGUCUUAUCCCUGUAUCCCUCACCUCUUACCAGGAUAAUGUCCUCACUGACCUACAUACCCUCUCACCAGCCAUCCCUCCCUGGGCUCUGCCACGUGGUCUUCCUAAAGCACGGUCUGGUCACAUCAGGCCUGGAGGCCUUCCCUUGAGACCCAUCUGCUUGCCUCUCCAAGGUGAUUUCCCCCACCCCCCAUGUCAGCUCCACCAUCCAUAUACCGUCAGUAUUAAUCUUUGUAGAAUGUCACAGUAAGCACUUUACAUGGGUUAUUUCCGUGACGUAGAUACUAAUAUGAUCUCUGAGAAUGAGAAGAGCAGUCUCUGACAUUGGGAGCUGGCCUGGCGCUCACAGCAAGGCCAUGGGUUCUCCUGUUGGACAUGGACCAUCUUGCAGAGGCACUCCAUUGUGAGAGAGUGAGACAAAACAUCAUAGCCGUGCCCAAGCAAGCGCCCUGAGUCACCCACAGAAACUCAGACAAGCUCUCUCCCAGCCAAUAGCAACGACCCCUGCUCUUUCAUCGGCUACAGAUGAGCCUCCCUCUGCCCCGCCCUUCUAACAGAUAAUCACUUAUUGAGAUGUCCCUGCUUCCUGACAGCAUCCAAUCCACGCAGAGUUUCCCUGUCUGUCAAAUAGAGGUGUCAGUGCCCUGCCAAAGGCCACCAGACACACACAGAGUUGGAUGAGCUUGUAUGCCUUGUUCUGUGAGUGGGAUGCACACCAUGGGCUGGGGGGUGUCUCUAACAGGUGUUGGGAAGAAUAACUGAGGGGUAUGGGCUUUGGUUGGGGGAUGUAUGGGCCGCUGGUGGUUGGCAUAUCUGGAGGAGGAGUCCCCAGGCAAAGGGAAGGUCGUGUAGAGGCCUGAGGUCAGGGUGGACCUGGGUGCUCGUGGCUGGAGCUGCAUGCAGUGGGUUGUGUUGUUAUCUUCAAAGUGCAGUAUGAAGACUUCCUUUAGUUAAGGUAGCCCUUUAAAAAAAUGUUUUUUUAUUGUGGUAAUAUAUAGAUAACAUAAAAUUUACCAUUUUAACCAUUUUUAAGACCUAAAAUUUACCAUCUUAGCCAUUUUUAAGGAUACAGUUCAAUGGCAUUAAGUACAUUUCUUGUUGUUGUGCAACCAUCACCACUAUUCAUCUCCAGAAUUUUUUUCGUCAUCUCUAACUGAAAUGUGCCAAGAAACUCUGAAACUCUGACCAAGAUGGACUGAACUUGCUCUCAUGCCUGAGACAACCAAGAAAUGGACUAAUAUGUGAAGCAACAGUUCUCAGAACCUGGACAUUGUGCAACAAAGCUCAGUGACUCCUGAGAGACGAGAAACCAGUGGGCUGAGCCCUUACAGUUGCCUCAUCUCACCACCGCGAGUGUCUUCAGGCUGCAGGGCAGGGAGGGGAAUCCCACACAGAGCAAGGUGGCUGGAAGUCCCAGGGCAGAGUGCAGGUGGGGAGAAAUUUACAGAGAGGACUUGGGAACCUGCAGCCGCUCCCCCUCAAGUGUUCAGUAGAGAACUAAUCAGCACAUGUGUGUGUGCAGAAGCAACCCAGAGCCAGGGAAAGAACUGUCCAAAAGGGUCACACUGCCAUGGUUGCACAAGGCAGAGAGUGGUGUCGGUUACCAGCAGCCACCCUGGAAAAACUCUUGGUUCAUGGAACAGUGGGAAGAGUACGCGGGAGGGUCUUGCCUCGGGAGUGAGUCAUAGCUCACCCCAGACUGAUCACUGCUCAAACCCCACCUAACGUAUCAGAGAAAGAUCUGAAAGGAUCAAAAUGUUUCCUGGCCACUGUGUCCCAGAGCAAAGCUCAAGAAUAUUUACAAGAAUACAAAAUACCCAACACUCAACAAGGUAAAAUUUACAAUGUCUGGCAUCCAAUCUAAAAUUGUCAGGAAUAUAAAGAAGGACGUAAAACAAGGAGUUAAGUGCAGACACAGAGGUUACAUAAAGAGACCCAAAUAUAACUUCCAGAAGUAAAAAUUACAAUGUCUGAGUUGAAAAAUACCGUAAGUGGUAUUAGCAGCAGAUUGGAUGUUGCUGAAGAAAGGGUUGAAGACACAGCAGUAGGAACUAUGCCAAAGAUGUGAAGAGAAAAGAGAAUAAAUUGACAGCAUCAGGGGCACCUGUGGGGCAGCCUCACGUGGCCUGACACACCUGUAAUGACCGUCCCAGAAAGAAGGGACACAAACGGGAUGAAAAGAAAUAGUGGAGAAAAUGCCGGAUCUUUCCCAAUUUGAUGAAAACCCUAACCCUCAAUGAACCCCAAGCACAGGAACAUGAAGGAAAGUACCAAGGCACAAUAUAAUCAAAUUGCUCAAAACCAAUGAUAAAGAGGAAAAAUUUAAAACACCCAGAGAACAAAGAUAUUUUACAAACAAAGGAAUCGAGAGGAGGAUGGCAGAUUACAAGAGGCCACGAUGACCACCAGGCGUCGCCCCAGGCCGCUGUUGCAUCGAGACGCUCCAAACCAUCCUCCAAAAAGGGAAGAAAUCAUUCUUCCUCCUCAUAAGCCAUUUGUAGGCAGCAAGUGGAAUUAGCCAGUUCUCAGACAUGCCUCAUACUUCUCUGCUAUUCCUACUCUGCAGGAAGUGCAAUUUCUCUACGUUUAAAUACUAACUUGGAAUUGUAGUCACAAUCGAUUUGGACUCUAUUUACAUGUUAGGAACAUUGUGUUUAACACUUUCCAUUACAAUUUUUUUCGCAUCUUGAAUGGAUCUAAAAAGAAAUGAAUCUUGGUGGUCUCCAAAUUAGGAAUUUAUUCCCUGACUUGCUGACGCCGUCCCCACCUCAGUCGAGCUCGGCCGUGACCCGGAUAAUGCGGCAGUGACAGGUCACGGGCACGGGUGGACACACAGAGAGCCAGAGACCCUGGCCCUGACCCAGACCUGGAUCCGAAGGCUGCAGCCCCAAGAGGGAGCAUGACCCCACGCUGUACAUGUCUGUGCAGGCUGGGGGUGCCAGCCACCCCUAGAUGUGUGAGGUGCUUUCAUGUGGAACGUCCAGGGGCAUCCCAGGUUAGAGUCCUCAAGUUGACCAUGGGCUGUAGGUCUCUUUCUAACCCUCUGGAACAGUGCUUUGUUCCAUCCUUAAGACAAAACUGAAUUAAAUGAAAACAGAAAACACACGUGCCACAUUGACCUCACUGAGCAGAUGCGCACCCUGGGGUGCAUGCUCCAGGCUGACGCUGUCACACGACCACCCGCCCCGUGCCCACGGCUACCCUCCCAGCCUCGACAGACAAAGGAAUACUGUGGUUGCAAACUCCAAAACUUCCCUGAGAACCUUGUCCAUGAGCUUCCACUGGAGACUUUGAGCUGCUCUUCAGAUUUCUUUCAAAAAACAAAAAUAAAUCACUUUGUAAUACGCCGUGCCUUCCCCUGCACUUGUGUGGGGAGGUCGAGGCCUCCAGCCUGGCAAGCGCAACGAGAAAGACACGGAUUUCCAGGCACCCCUUUGGAUAAGCCCACCUGAGGCCGCCCUGGGCUGCCAACUAGUCACUGCAAGCUAGGAAUCUCCACUGCGGGGGCAGGGCAAGGGAGGCGAACGAUGGAGCCAAGUCGGGGAGCCCCAGGUGUCCCGGUUGGCGGGGUGGCUUCUGGAUGGCGAGGUCUAGACCUGGAUGCCCCUCACAGCCCGUUUGAUGCUCUCCAGGAGGUCCUUGUUCUCGGGGUCCUGGUAGCACUCCUGGUCGGAGUACAUGUCGGUGAGGGUGCUCACGUAGGCAUCAAAAUUCUGCUCACAUAUUGGCUCCUGGAGAACAGAACUGGGUUAGCAAGCUCCAUCCAUGCAAUGGGCCACAUGAUUUUCAGAAGCCACAGAAAUCUACGGAUGAACACAGAACGCCCCCUGAGACAAGCCCACACCUACCAGGGGCACCACUGGCACCCUUGGGCCGAAACAACCAUGAGUAUUCUGCUGUGGAUUCCUAAGCUCUUCAGGAGAUCUAGAGCCACCACGGCCAGCAGCCUGCAGGGCAAAGCACCUGGAUCGGGGCCCUUGUGGCAGAGGGGUGCCCUGCCCUCCUCACCUUCCCCAGAGUCCUGGGGGUCAGCUACCAACCAGCUCAGCUGCGUGCCCGCAGGGCCACAUCCUGCUUACCAUGUGCGGAAGGCGGAUGUUGGCAAGACUUUGGAUGAGGGCCUGGCUCAGGCCCGACAGCUCCAGAAACAGGGCUUCAUUCUGUUCCUCGAUGAGCUUGUUCUCCUCCUCGAUGUUCUUUAGGCUCUUUUCCAUGGAGGAGAUCUGCACCAGACCGAGAUGGGAAAUGCCUCCUGCCAUGGGAGUCCCAUGGACCACAUCCCUCAGGUCCUCCUGGGACACACCCAGCAUGCUAACUGUGCCACACUUCAUGUCUCUCUGGGAGAGGGUGAAGAGGCAGGGACCCUGGUCCCUGGGUGGAGGAGGGGAUGCAGUGACUGAGCCAGGGGCUGUGUGGGGCCAUAGCCUUCUGUGCCACAUCUGUCCUGCAGGGUCACGGAGGAACACAGACUCCAAAGCACCCUGGGCUCAAAUCCCAGCCCACCACUAGCUGCGCAGUUAAGUUCACCAUGUUCCUUCUUCCUUGUCUGUAAUGGGAAUACUGCAUCCACUUUGGGGGGUGUCUGGCCACCUUUGGGUCUUUCCCCCACCAGAAAGACCAACAAAAUGCCUUAAUAAAGCUGUGGAAGGCAAGCAGAACAGGCAACUGCUUCUCCCUCUGCAACUCCUAGCUGAGUGGAGCCAGUCGAUGACCCCUCCAGCACACCCUUACAGUGACAGUGACAACAGGGCUGAUGGUCAGGGGCAGUCCUGAAUGCUCUGGGCAGCUCAGGUGAUCAGAGAGGUGAGUCUCAGGGUCAGCACAAUCCUAUGCAGAGGUUCACAGCCAGUGUGAGGAAGGUGGGAAGCCUGCCCUGGGGCCCGGUCUGGAGAAAACUUGCUUGGGAGGGCAGCUCCCAACCUGACUGCAUCUCAAGGGAGCCUUGGGCUGCGGCAAGCUCACACAAUGUGUGUGACUCAUUGAGCCAUCCCCUAGGUGCACAAAGGUGAGCUGCCUCUUAGGGGGCAAUGCAUGGGGUGGAGUGCUUUCUUCCAACCACAUGGCUGGGAAACAUCAUGCUUCAUCACCUGGUGAAAAGUCUUUGGCUUAAAACAGUUUGAGUAGGAGUUAGGGGCCUGCCUUCUCUUUGCCUGAGACUUUCUGCAGAGCACAGGACUCAAAACUCCCUCUAGAGGAAAGGGGGCUCUGAGUCAGUCCAAAAAGAUGCUAGUGAAUAAAAAGAUGGAAAUCAGCAAAAAAAAAAAAAAAAGAAAGAAAGAAAGAAAGAAAGAAAAGAAAGAAAGAAAGAAAGAAAGAAAGAAAGAAAGAAAGAAAGAAAGAAAGAAAAAGGAAAAGAAAGAAAGGAUUAAAAAAGAAAAGAAAAGACAUCAGAGGUGCUGUCCCAAGGUUACUUCAGGAAGAGAGAGAGCAGUGAGAGACAGAGGGUGGUGGUUACCCAGUGAUGUGUCUCGGCACCCAGAGAUGCCCCAAUACUCCUCUGCUUCUACUGCCUGUGAGCCUGGGGAAGAUGGUGCAUGGCAGACAAAGACCCUUCCUGAUCUCUACGGGCGGAUGCUAUUUUUAUCUAGGCUUCCAAGUCACAGGAGGUCAGCAUAAAAGCCUCUUGGCCAAUGGAAGAAGAGACAGCAUAACAAGAUACAUGGGGCUCUAUUAUGUCACACUGCAGCCUCUGGGAAGGGCUACCUUCCCAUCUGUCCUUUCUGCCCUCAGAUCCUGCAGGGCCCAGUCACCUCCUUGUCCCUCUGUCCCUCCAGCCAUAGGGGACAGAGCUAUGUGUGGCCACUCCUUCUGUGCCCCAGCUCUUGCUCUGGCCCCUUACUCAACAGCUAAGGACAGGGCUUCUUUUCAAAAUAAGACCCUCAUUGCAUUUUUUUUUCUGAUGACCAGUGUUCAUUUGGGGGAAAUCAGAGAGAUAUGACACAUAUACUUAAAGUAAUUUGUAACCCUAUCACCCAACAAUAGUGACUCUUUUGGGGUCAGACACUUUCCCAUAGAAAUGCGUUUAUCUUACAACAACCUCACAGAGUUGAUUCCUAUUAUCAUCCCCAUUCUACCAGUAAGGACAUCAAGGUACAGACUGAUAACAGGUUUGCCAGGUUACUAAGCUGCUAUAUGGCAGCUCUGGGGUAGAAUCAGCCUCCCAGCCAGGUCCUCAGAACCUAGCCUGUGAUCCUACUCCUACUGACAGGGCCAGCAGUCAACCCUGACGGGACCACUAACCCUGAUGGGACCCCCAGCAUGGGCACCCCAGGACCCCUACUGCUAGAAGAACUACCAAAGCUGGCAGGUGUGGCUUGUUCUGAGUGUCCCUGAGAGCUGCACUGUCAGCUCAGCCUAACAGCAACCUUGACGAGCUCAGCUCUCCUGCCUCAUGGAAGAGGAGGCUGAGGACAAGGACCCCCUUGGGUUGGGUGGCAACACCACCCACCUGGGACUGCAGCUGCGCCACCCGCCUGGGACUGCACCUGGGACUACAGUUGUGCCACCCACCUGGGACUGCAGCUGCACCAUGGCGGCCUCCAUCUCAGAGUUGGACUCAUUCAGGUCGCGAAUCUCCUGGUUCAGCUGCUUGAUCUCCUCAUCAUUCUCCAAUACUGCUCCAGAGAAAAACCUUGGUUGUGGCUCUUGGCUUUAUGCCCAGGCCAGCAUGUGGGGGUGCAGUAGAGGCCUAUUUUCUAGGUGGAACAAAGGACCCUUUCCAAACAGAGGUAACCGGCCUGGCAUGCUAGGCAGCUCAUAUCCCACAUGUCAUGCUGGAAAAGUCGGGCUUGGAGACUAGUAGCCAUAUGCCUACAUCUGCCUCCUGACCCUGGGUGAUGGGUAGGAGGAUAUAAAUCUCUCUGUCAGGUAUUAAUCGCUAAGAUAAAGAUGGAAGUUUUCCAGGUGGUGCUGAA